RNAcentral lists this ribosomal RNA (377 nucleotides) under uncultured bacterium. Its description in RNAcentral is "partial 16S ribosomal RNA". It matches the Rfam family "Bacterial small subunit ribosomal RNA", at positions 338 to 712 of the family's 1533-position model. The record is from RNAcentral.
CCUACGGGUGGCAGCAGUGAGGAAUAUUGGUCAAUGGGCGCGAGCCUGAACCAGCCAAGUAGCGUGAAGGAUGACUGCCCUACGGGUUGUAAACUUCUUUUAUAAAGGAAUAAAGUGAGGCACGUGUGCCUUAUUGUAUGUACUUUAUGAAUAAGGAUCGGCUAACUCCGUGCCAGCAGCCGCGGUAAUACGGAGGGUCCGAGCGUUAUACGGUUUUAUUGGGUUUAAAGGGAGCGUAGAUGGGUUGUUAAGUCAGUGGUGAAAGUUUGCGGCUCAACCGUAAAAUUGCAAUUGAUACUGGCAGUCUUGAGUACAGUUGAGAUAGGCGGAAUUCGUGGUGUAGCGGGGAAAUGCUUAGAAAUCACACGGAACACCGA